Molecule: small nucleolar RNA, 133 nt
Organism: Cricetulus griseus (Chinese hamster)
Lineage: Eukaryota; Metazoa; Chordata; Mammalia; Rodentia; Cricetidae
Product: small nucleolar RNA SNORA13
Source: Ensembl
AGCCUUUGUGUUGCCCGUUCACCUUUGCUCACUAGUGAACGCGGUGUCAAAAAAGGCAUAAAUUAAUGCUUUGCGGCCAUUUCUUACCCUGGAGCUCGGUGUCUUGGGUGUCGGAGCUGCAUAAGUAACACAA